AAGUCGUAACAAGGUUUCCGUAGGUGAACCUGCGGAAGGAUCAUUAUUGAAUUCCAACUAGGGCUCGAGAUUGCUGCUGGCUCUCCGGGCAUGUGCACAUCUCAUUCAUUUACCUCUCACCUCUGUGCACUUUUCACAGGACAGCCUGGUGGUUAGUAGGCUUUCAAUUAGUCUAUGGCUACAGGUUGCUUUGUGUGCUUUAUAAACUCAUAAUCAAGUUCAGAAUGUCUAUUGUGUAUCCACACAUUUAAAUACAA
RNAcentral lists this unclassified non-coding RNA (257 nucleotides) under plant metagenome. RNAcentral's name for it is "partial contains small subunit ribosomal RNA and internal transcribed spacer 1". The stretch from base 1 to 46 matches the Rfam family "Eukaryotic small subunit ribosomal RNA", at positions 1786 to 1831 of the family's 1831-position model. The record is from RNAcentral.